This is a non-coding RNA of Pelobates cultripes (western spadefoot toad), 425 nucleotides long. The record is from the annotation of a GenBank genome assembly. NCBI's taxonomy places the organism in Eukaryota, Metazoa, Chordata, Amphibia, Anura, Pelobatidae.
AAAAACUACUGAAAGCCUGAAGAUCUUAGUACGGUGCAAUGUGGAAAUUUAAAGUCACAUCACUCAUCAUCUAUUUAUCUGCUGGUACAUAUAACAGUAUGAAUAUCAUAGACAUGUAAGGAGAUAUAAACAUAUUAAUGCUCUGUUUUCUCUCAUUAGAUCCAGUCUUUGGGGAUAAAGUUGCACAGCCUGCUUCAGAUGCUGGAAAAGAAAAAGCACAAAAGACACUCAGUUGUAGCUAUGCAUCAUCCUACUAUUGUUGUUAUUGGUACAGAAAAUAUCCUUCCUCUGCUUUGCAAUAUCUUGUUUAUUCCUGUUCAAGCUUUACUAAUGAGAUAAAUGGGAGAUUCACUGCAUAUUACAGUUCCUCCAGUAGCACAUUAACUAUCUCCAGUCUAGAAUUGAACGAUGCAGCUGUUUAUUAC